This is a long non-coding RNA of Xenia sp. Carnegie-2017, 784 nucleotides long. RefSeq lists it as uncharacterized. The record is from RefSeq and is a predicted model, not a curated record. NCBI's taxonomy places the organism in Eukaryota, Metazoa, Cnidaria, Anthozoa, Malacalcyonacea, Xeniidae. The transcript is spliced from 4 exons.
UGAAAGAUGAUUGGGCAUAUUUUCGUAUUUUUUCUUGUUAUGAUUGCCUGUCAUGCAUCAGAAGACGCAUCUCAAUGUACACAAACUGAUUUCCAGAUGUUGAGAAAAAACGGUGAGGCUCUAGCAGAAAAAGAUGUCAUUUCAAGUCAUGCCGUUCGCAAUCUCAUAGAAUGUUUUAUGAAAUGUGUUUCAAUGCAGCAAUGUGUUGGCCUUAACUACCUUGACAAUGUACAAGAACAUUUGAUUAACUGUCAAACCAACACACGACAAUAAGUAAUGUCUCAAAAAUUGUAUCUUCCGAAGGAAAUUGGAUUUUUUAUCAAACUUCAAAGAUAAAAGAACCUGCAGAAAAUGAAAAUAAUUGGAUAGUCCUAAACUACACAAGUAUUCUAAAAGAUAAAAAUGAUUGGAUACUACAACUCAAACAAUGGCUUCCUUCGACAUUGAAUGGCAAAAAGGCGGUCCAUUGUUACCAGGCAACAGUAAAUGGAUGGAAGGCAACCACUUUUCACAGUCUCUGUGACAAUAAAGGACCGGCAUUGGUUGUUGUAAAACUUGGAACUUUUGUCUUUGGGGGAUUUUCUUCAGAAUCUUGGAAAGGAGACGCCGGUUACAUAAGAGCAGAAAAAUCGUUUAUUUUUUCUUUAAAAAACAAUGAUGGUCUGCCACCAUUUAAAUCCGAAGUUGUCAAACCACAAUAUGCAAUUCGCGAUUAUUCUUCCCAAGGACCCAUAUUUGGAGGUGGUCAUGAUUUCCUCAUCUAUGACAAAGCCAACUCUAAUUC